RNAcentral lists this transfer RNA (68 nucleotides) under Vignadula atrata. Its description in RNAcentral is "tRNA-Ile". The record is from RNAcentral. Lineage: Eukaryota; Metazoa; Mollusca; Bivalvia; Mytilida; Modiolidae.
GGCACUAUGUGGGGGAUAAUCCAGUUGCCUUGAUGUGGCAAAGUUUAAAACCAUUGUUUUUAGUGUUU